GAGUUUGAUCUUGGCUCAGGACGAACGCUGGCGGCGUGCUUAACACAUGCAAGUCGAACGGAAAGGCCCUGCUUGCAGGGUACUCGAGUGGCGAACGGGUGAGUAACACGUGGGUGAUCUGCCCUGCACUUCGGGAUAAGCUUGGGAAACUGGGUCUAAUACCGGAUAGGAGCCAUCUUUAGUGUGGUGGUUGGAAAGUUUUUUCGUGUAGGAGUGAGCUCGCGGCCGUAC
RNAcentral lists this ribosomal RNA (231 nucleotides) under uncultured microorganism. Its description in RNAcentral is "partial 16S ribosomal RNA". It matches the Rfam family "Bacterial small subunit ribosomal RNA", at positions 9 to 242 of the family's 1533-position model. The record is from RNAcentral.